GGCGUUAAUAUUGAGUCACUGAUAAGAUCUUGGCAUCGGAACUAAACACAUUUAUUCUAAAAACAGUUGUUGGCAUGACACGGGUUAUGUUCUUCUCAUAUAUGUUAUGAUGGUAUGAUACUAAACCCCUAACGGGAAGGAUUGUGUCUGAUGUUCAUAUGAUGAAAUCAUAAUCUUUCAGUCAGUUUAAUUGAAGUCUGGAGCUGGCAUGUCAGUUAACUGCUAGUAGUCUGUUGUUAUUUAUGUAUUAUUGUCAUUUUGUUUAUUUUCUUUAGUUACAUCUUCCGACAUCAGACUCGGACUUCUCUUGAACUGAAUUUUAAUGUGCGUAUUGUUAUGCGUUUACUUUUCUACAUUGGUUAGAGGUAUAGGGGGAGGGUUGAG
This 384-nucleotide long non-coding RNA is filed under the name Mytilus galloprovincialis (Mediterranean mussel). The record is from RNAcentral. Lineage: Eukaryota; Metazoa; Mollusca; Bivalvia; Mytilida; Mytilidae.